Long non-coding RNA from Ailuropoda melanoleuca (giant panda), 823 nucleotides. RefSeq lists it as uncharacterized. Lineage: Eukaryota; Metazoa; Chordata; Mammalia; Carnivora; Ursidae. The transcript has 4 exons. The record is from RefSeq and is a predicted model, not a curated record.
CAAAGUGAACCUCAGGACAACAAAAGAAAACGCAUCUAAGAGAAACAGAAUACGGCCCAAUUUGUUUCUGUGGCAUGCCAACCUCACGCCUUUCCUUCCUGGUACAUAAGUACCUUUGAUCCCUUUACGAUUCCACCUUCACCUGCCAUGCCAGAUUUCAAAGACAGAACAAUCAUCUAGUUUGGCAUCAAGAGAGGGAAGUCGCUUUUUCAUGUCUGUAUGGCCACAUUCACUUGUUAUGACCUUUACGUGGUGCCGAGGAAAGUGGUCACGUGCCCAGCAUCAUAUAUGAGGAGCACCUACCGAAGGGCCUCAGGCAGAGGGGUGACAGUGGCGCCCCCUCUUGUUCUUUCAUUUUCAGGGUGUUGACAUUGCCUGAAGUUUACACCUUCCACAAAGUGUCUUGUCUGGUUUUAACCAAUUAACUCUCUUAUUUGGAAAACAAGUGGCUUAAAAGAGUCCUUCAAAGAAAUCGAAGAUUAAGAUAAAUCUGAUAAUGCACUCACAGGUGAAAAUCAAGAUCAAAUCUGCCACUUUCAGUUCUAAAAGUUUUUCCAGCCAUACGGAAACAUGAAAACAAUGGUAGUCUAAUUGGAUCUGACAAGAAAUAGGUCAAAAACAUUCACAAUUAUUCAAGACUACUUGCAAUCUGGAUUUCUAUGAACUAUCAUUAACGAUGAAUUCUGACCUGAGCAUAUAUAUUGCCAUGAGAUAUUAGCUAUUGAUAGAGUAUGAUAUCAUCGUGAUUAGCAAGAUAUUUUAUUCUCUUCAUCUUCAUCUCAUUCUUUCCUAACUUCUAUUUUGUGUAUGUUUUAUCAUGCAC